GACGAACGCUGGCGGCGUGCUUAACACAUGCAAGUCGAACGAUGAAGCCGGAGCUUGCUCUGGUGAAUUAGUGGCGAACGGGUGAGUAACACGUGGGUAACCUGCCCAUAAGACUGGGAUAACUCCGGGAAACCGGGGCUAAUACCGGAUAACAUUUUGAACCGCAUGGUUCGAAAUUGAAAGGCGGCUUCGGCUGUCACUUAUGGAUGGACCCGCGUCGCAUUAGCUAGAUGGUGAGGUAACGGCUCACCAAGGCAACGAUGCGUAGCCGACCUGAGAGGGUGAUCGGCCACACUGGGACUGAGACACGGCCCAGACUCCUACGGGAGGCAGCAGUAGGGAAUCUUCCGCAAUGGACGAAAGUCUGACGGAGCAACGCCGCGUGAGUGAUGAAGGCUUUCGGGUCGUAAAACUCUGUUGUUAGGGAAGAACAAGUGCUAGUUGAAUAAGCUGGCACCUUGACGGUACCUAACCAGAAAGCCACGACUAACUACGUGCCAGCAGCCGCGGUAA
RNAcentral lists this ribosomal RNA (513 nucleotides) under uncultured bacterium. RNAcentral describes it as "partial 16S ribosomal RNA". It matches the Rfam family "Bacterial small subunit ribosomal RNA", at positions 28 to 523 of the family's 1533-position model. The record is from RNAcentral.